This 467-nucleotide ribosomal RNA is filed under the name uncultured bacterium. RNAcentral's name for it is "partial 16S ribosomal RNA". It matches the Rfam family "Bacterial small subunit ribosomal RNA", at positions 331 to 794 of the family's 1533-position model. The record is from RNAcentral.
CCAGACUCCUACGGGAGGCAGCAGUGAGGAAUAUUGGUCAAUGGGCUUACGCCUGAACCAGCCAAGUCGCGUGAGGGAAGACUGCCCUAUGGGUUGUAAACCUCUUUUGUCAGGGAGCAACGCCGGCUACGUGUAGCCGGACUGAGGGUACCUGAAGAAAAAGCAUCGGCUAACUACGUGCCAGCAGCCGCGGUAAUACGUAGGGGGCAAGCGUUAUCCGGAUUUACUGGGUGUAAAGGGAGCGUAGGCGGUUAGAUAAGUCUGAUGUGAAAGCCCACAGCUUAACUGUGGGAUUGCAUUGGAAACUAUAGAACUAGAGUGUCGGAGAGGUAAGUGGAAUUCCUAGUGUAGCGGUGAAAUGCGUAGAUAUUAGGAGGAACACCAGUGGCGAAGGCGGCUUACUGGACGAUGACUGGCGCUGAGGCUCGAAAGCGUGGGGAGCAAACAGGAUUAGAUACCCGGGUAUA